UCACGCGAUCGCCUUACGGCUCAGUAACACGUGGAUAACCUGCCCUGCGGUGGGAAAUAACCCCGGGAAACUGGGGAUAAUGUCCCAUAGGCUACAGAUGCUGGAAUGCUCUGUAACUCAAAGAUUUAUCGCCACAGGAUGGGUCUGCGGCCGAUUAGGUAGUUGUUGGGGUAACGGCCCAACAAGCCUUUGAUCGGUACGGGUUGUGGGAGCAAGAGCCCGGAGGUGGAUUCUGAGACACGAAUCCAGGCCCUACGGGGCGCAGCAGGCGCGAAAACUUUACAAUGCGGGAAACCGUGAUAAGGGAACUCCGAGUGUCCGUAAAUGCGGACUGUCCGUAUGUCUAAAAAGCAUGCGAAGAAAGGGCCGGGCAAGACCGGUGCCAGCCGCCGCGGUAAUACCGGCGGCUCGAGUGGUGGCCACUAUUAUUGGGCUUAAAGCGUUCGUAGCUGGAUCGUUAAGUCUCUUGGGAAAUCUACCGGCUUAACCGAUAGGCGUCCAAGGGAUACUGGCGAUCUAGGGACCGGGAGAGGUGAGGGGUACUUCAGGGGUAGGAGUGAAAUCCUGUAAUCCUUGGGGGACCACCUGUGGCGAAGGCGCCUCACCAGAACGGCUCCGACAGUGAGGGACGAAAGCUGGGGGAGCAAACCGGAUUAGAUACCCGGGUAGUCCCAGCCGUAAACGAUGCGCGUUAGGUGUAUCGAUGACCACGAGUCAUCGAGGUGCCGAAGGAAACCGUGAAACGCGCGCUGGGAGUACGGUCGCAGGCUGAAACUUAAGAUGCGGGGAGCACAGGCGAUCGUUUAAACUGCAGACUAGUCCUUUAGUGAGGUAUCUGAGCUGCCGUAUCAUGUCAUAGCUGUCUGGUGAAAUGUUAUCCGCUCCAAUCCACCACUACCGAUCGAAGCUAAGGUAGCCUGAUGCCUAUGAGUGACUAACUCCAUUAUG
Molecule: ribosomal RNA, 948 nt
Filed under: uncultured archaeon
Lineage: Archaea
Description: bacterial SSU rRNA
Rfam family: Archaeal small subunit ribosomal RNA
Source: RNAcentral